AAGUAAAAGUCGUAACAAGGUUUCGUCAAAGGAGAUCCUUCUUGGAAGCCUUUUGCACACCGACUAUAACCAUGUGUACAGUCUGGAUUCAGUGGAGUCCGGGCGACGUCAUCCCUGUGCUGGAACCCUAUAGCCUUUAUAGGGAACCAGCGGCCAGGCUUUCCUGGUUCACAGAUUAGGUGGUGGCGGUCUCCAGCACUGGUGCUGGGGAUCAAGAUAUAAUCGGUCUCCAUGCUCAGUCAUGGACGAGAAACGUUCCGUAGGUGAACCUGCGGAAGGAUCAUUA
Molecule: ribosomal RNA, 286 nt
Filed under: Verrucaria sp. A. Orange 17068
Lineage: Eukaryota; Fungi; Ascomycota; Eurotiomycetes; Verrucariales; Verrucariaceae
Description: partial 18S small subunit ribosomal RNA
Source: RNAcentral